Molecule: long non-coding RNA, 579 nt
Organism: Bos taurus (domestic cattle)
Lineage: Eukaryota; Metazoa; Chordata; Mammalia; Artiodactyla; Bovidae
Source: Ensembl
GGCAUAAAGGACAAAGCCACAGGACAGAGGAGUUCUCUACUGAGCAUCUCAAACUCUCCGGACUGUACAGCUGACAAAUACACGUGAAGCUACGUGACACCACUCUCAUCUACUUUCUGGAAGCGUGAAGCUUUUUCCGAUGCUUUGACUCUGGGUGCCUUGCUGACCCUAGAGGGUCUGUCCCUCCCAGGGCUGCCAAGUCCUGGAGGCAGUAAACUCGGUAAAGGCAGGAGCAUAACCUUCAUACACAAACUAACCAGCCCAGACAUGGACACCAUGUAUCCUCUAUCUGGCUCUCACACUCUGGACUGCUUUUCACCCACCCUGCUCACCCUGGCACCGGACAACCAGAGACAGCCCUCACACCCCAGAGACCUCUGAAAUGAUCCAAACCAGCCAGCCCCAGCCUGCUUACCUUGCUCCUCCUGUUCCUCCCCACAGAAACCACAACAAAGGUUAUUAUUGUCAUGUUCUCCUCCAAUUGCCUCUGCCUCCUGACUAAUCCCACUGCUCCCCCCACGGCAUCCAUGGUAUGCUGUGCCGUCUCGGGAAAUGAAACAGACUUUGUGCAUGAAACAA